ACGGGUGAGUAACACGUGGGCAACCUGCCCUUGAGACUGGGAUAACUUCGGGAAACCGGAGCUAAUACCGGAUAAUAUAAGGAACCUCCUGGUUCCUUGUUGAAAGAUGGUUUCGGCUAUCACUUAAGGAUGGGCCCGCGGCGCAUUAGCUAGUUGGUGAGGUAACGGCUCACCAAGGCGACGAUGCGUAGCCGACCUGAGAGGGUGAUCGGCCACACUGGGACUGAGACACGGCCCAGACUCCUACGGGAGGCAGCAGUAGGGAAUCUUCCUCAAUGGACGAAAGUCUGAUGGAGCAACGCCGCGUGAGUGAUGAAGGCCUUCGGGUCGUAAAGCUCUGUUGUUAGGGAAGAACAAGUGCGAGAGUAACUGCUCGCUCCUUGACGGUACCUAACCAGAAAGCCACGGCUAACUACGUGCCAGCAGCCGCGGUAAUACGUAGGUGGCAAGCGUUAUCCGGAAUUAUUGGGCGUAAAGCGCGCGCAGGUGGUUUCUUAAGUCUGAUGUGAAAGCCCACGGCUCAACCGUGGAGGGUCAUUGGAAACUGGGGAACUUGAGUGCAGAAGAGGAAAGUGGAAUUCC
Molecule: ribosomal RNA, 582 nt
Filed under: uncultured bacterium
Lineage: Bacteria
Description: bacterial SSU rRNA
Rfam family: Bacterial small subunit ribosomal RNA
Source: RNAcentral